This 476-nucleotide ribosomal RNA is filed under the name uncultured bacterium. RNAcentral describes it as "bacterial SSU rRNA". It matches the Rfam family "Bacterial small subunit ribosomal RNA", at positions 35 to 507 of the family's 1533-position model. The record is from RNAcentral.
GACGAACGGCUGGCGGCGUGCCUAACACAUGCAAGUCGAGCGGGGUUGAAGCGAGAGGUAACUCGAACUUCUACCUAGCGGCGGACGGGUGAGUAACGCGUGGGCAACCUGCCUCAAGGUUUGGGAUAACAGCCCGAAAGGGCUGCUAAUACCGGAUAUGCCUAUGGCCUCGCAUGGGGCUAUGAGCAAAGGGGAAACCCGCCUUGAGAUGGGCCCGCGUCCCAUCAGCUAGUUGGUGAGGUAACAGCUCACCAAGGCGACGACGGGUAGCCGGCCUGAGAGGGUGACCGGCCACACUGGGACUGAGACACGGCCCAGACUCCUACGGGGGGCAGCAGUGGGGGAUCUUGCACAAUGGGCGAAAGCCUGAUGCAGCGACGCCGCGUGAGCGAAGAAGGCCUUCGGGUUGUAAAGCUCUGUCUGGAGGGACGAACAAAAUGACGGUACCUCCGGAGGAAGCCACGGCUAACUACGUG